Molecule: small RNA, 125 nt
Filed under: Marmota monax (woodchuck)
Lineage: Eukaryota; Metazoa; Chordata; Mammalia; Rodentia; Sciuridae
Source: RNAcentral
GCCGGGUACCGUGGCACAUGCCUGUAAUCCCAGUGGCUCAGGAGGCUGAGGCAGGAGGAUCGUGAGUUCCAAGCCAGCCUCAGCAAUGGCGAGGUGCUAAGCAACUCAGUGAGACCCUGUCUCUA